CUACGUUGCGAUCCAGAGAUUUAUGUAAUUUUUGUUUCAUAAUAAAAUAUAAAUAAUUUAACAUUCAGUCGUACACAAUACUUCAAAGUGCCAAGUCCAAAAGUCCAUGCGUACUGCUCGCUUAAAAAUAAUAUCAGUAUGGAUACAUUAAAUAAAGAAAUCUUGAAAAUUCUUUUUCUAGAAAAAGAUGAUGAUUAGAUUUUGCCCUGGUAUCUGUCUGAAGAAAAAAACUUAACAUGAUUCAUUCUUCAGAAAGAGAAGUACCGAAAGUUAUCAUAAUAUAAUUAUCAACAGCCAUCUGAAAAAUAAUAAAAUCAAAUUCGGGGAAUUUUUUAGAAUAAACCGCUAUUAGUUUUUUAUUUUAUUUUGAAUCUAAUAAGAGAUGAUUUAAAAUCGUCUUCGACUUCAUUAAACUUGGGGGCUAUUAUAGAACUCGAGUUUACCUUUGAACAACCGAUGUCAACGAGUGGUCGAUCAUAAUUCAUAAAUGAGUAUUUACUUAUCAUAUUAUUUGACAUAACGCGGCUUAUGUCAAUGUGGGACUAUCCCUCUGCUCAGUUAUAUAAUAAUAAAUAUAGAUAUCUAGAUUUAAAUUUCAGUUUAUAAUUACAUAUUAAUUACUUUCAAAACAACUAGUCGAUUGGUCGCGGUGCGAACGCGAUUUGACUGUUCAAGAAGCAGUCAGUUCGCGUAUGCUCAAGGAAACCAAGUAUAUUUAAUUUGCAUUGUAUCAGCAGUGACAGUUGCGUGGUAGGGACACGGGAUCUUAGAUCGCUGUCACGAUUGCAUAACGGAAAACGUACCUUAACGUCAUCGUUAUAACAUCUUUGUAAACAUUUUGAAGAGAAUGAUGCAGCUUAUUGUGCAUAUGAUUUUUCUGCAUAGCAGUGUGGAGAAAAAUGUAGUGCACACAUAACACCAAGAAAUAAUGAAGUUUAUAGUGGCCAACUGGAAUACUUAGUGCUCGGAUGUUUGCAUAAUAUUUUAGGUGAAUACAAUUUGAUUUAUUAAAUUUAAUGAAUAAUGCCAGUUCAAGAAUAGUAUUAACCUGUUUCACAAUUUAUAUUGUUACCGUCGUUUUUAUUAUUGUGUCUUACAAUUUGCAAUAUUUCCCAUUAAUGACUAUGACUUUUAAAUAGUUACAAACAAUACUACUUUAUAGAUGCUCAAGUAUGCUCUCUGCAUGAGGCUUGUUAAAUCAAUAAAAUCCUCAAAAGACCCAUUGAAUUGGCUCUUAAUUACACCUUAGUUAACAGAAUCUGUAAAUACAUAAAAUAUCCACUUAACUUAACUGGCUAAAUAAUUUACCAAUGACUUGAAUUUUUUGAUAUAAUGGGGAGAAGAAAUGUUAUGUCAGUGUCUAUUUGUUUAGUUAAUAUAAAUUCUACACAUAAAGAUAUAUACAUAGUCAAUUCUUGUCAUCUUGUUUAAUCAUCAGAAACACUUCAUUAUAUCAGACUAUCAGUAAAACUUAUUUUCAAUAAACAAAUUUAUUAGUUCAAGAUUUUAUUUGUUCAUUCAUAUAGGUAUUCAAAAUUUUCCACUACUAAAAGCAAUUGUUAAAGUCGUCUACUAUUAACUUGCACUACGCCAUUUGAGUAAUCAGUCUCUUUGUCAAACACUGCAGUAUUGAUUUCUGUUUCCUUAAUAACAACGGACUUCUGCCUGAAUAAUGUAAAUAGCUUUAAUUUUGGAACAAAUAAAACACAAUGUUUAAAUAUCAAAUAUAAAUAGUCAGAGUAUCAUAUACCAAUAAUUUAUAAAUAAUAAAAAGAAUUCUCACCAUUUAAAUAUAUAAUUUUUUUUUUAAAUUUAAUUCAGGUCACAAAAAUAUUUCAAGAACAAAAUAUUUUAGUGGAAAUGAAUAUCUACAUUUUUUAAGCAAAUUCUUGUGUUGAAGGCAGAGCACAUACAUAAAAUAUAG
Molecule: long non-coding RNA, 1924 nt
Filed under: Cinara cedri
Lineage: Eukaryota; Metazoa; Arthropoda; Insecta; Hemiptera; Aphididae
Source: RNAcentral